Molecule: ribosomal RNA, 253 nt
Filed under: uncultured bacterium
Lineage: Bacteria
Description: partial 16S ribosomal RNA
Rfam family: Bacterial small subunit ribosomal RNA
Source: RNAcentral
UACGAAGGGGGCUAGCGUUGCUCGGAAUCACUGGGCGUAAAGCGCACGUAGGCGGACUCUUAAGUCGGUGGUGAAAUCCUGGAGCUCAACUCCAGAACUGCCUUCGAUACUGAGAGUCUCGAGUCCGAGAGAGGUGAGUGGAACUGCGAGUGUAGAGGUGAAAUUCGUAGAUAUUCGCAAGAACACCAGUGGCGAAGGCGGCUCACUGGCUCGGUACUGACGCUGAGGCGCGAAAGCCAGGGGAGCAAACGGG